CAUGGUUGUCGUCAGCUCGUGUCGUGAGAUGUGGGUUAAGUCCGCAACGAGCGCAACCCUCGACCUUAGUUGCCAGCAUUCAGUUGGGCACUCUAAGGUGACUGCCGGCUAAAAGUCGGAGGAAGGUGGGGAUGACGUCAAAUCAUCAUGCCCCUUAUGACCUGGGCUACACACGUGCUACAAUGGGCGGUACAAAGGGUCGCGAACCCGCGAGGGGGAGCCAAUCCCAAAAAGCCGCUCUCAGUUCGGAUUGCAGGCUGCAACUCGCCUGCAUGAAGCCGGAAUCGCUAGUAAUCGCGGAUCAGCAUGCCGCGGUGAAUACGUUCCCGGGCCUU
This 335-nucleotide ribosomal RNA is filed under the name uncultured Anoxybacillus sp. RNAcentral describes it as "bacterial SSU rRNA". It matches the Rfam family "Bacterial small subunit ribosomal RNA", at positions 1044 to 1382 of the family's 1533-position model. Lineage: Bacteria; Bacillati; Bacillota; Bacilli; Caryophanales; Anoxybacillaceae. The record is from RNAcentral.